GGGUCAGUAGGUUGGUCGUGCCACCGGUACGUACUGGUCUCAAUGAUUCCUCCUUCCUGAAGAACCGUAAUGCCAUUAAUUUGGUGUUGCGGGGAAACAGGACCGUUACUUUGAAAAAAUUAGAGUGUUUAAAGCAAGCUAACGCUUGAAUACAUUAGCAUGGAAUAAUGAAAUAGGACGAUCGAUCCUAUUUUGUUGGUUUCUAGGAUUGACGUA
Molecule: ribosomal RNA, 216 nt
Filed under: Glomeromycotina sp.
Lineage: Eukaryota; Fungi; Glomeromycota
Description: partial small subunit ribosomal RNA
Rfam family: Eukaryotic small subunit ribosomal RNA (bases 40-216)
Source: RNAcentral